GUGAUAGAGGUGCGACCACGAAAAGUAACCUCUCCCGGAUGCCAAGGCCGGCGGGGGAGGGGAAAGGCGUGUUCGCCGAGGUUCUAAGGGCGGGCCUGACGCCUUUGGGGCCGGGCUGUGGGAGAAGAUCCCUCAGACUGUCGUCCCCUUGGGACGGAGCGCUGUCA
This 167-nucleotide non-coding RNA is filed under the name pig gut metagenome. RNAcentral's name for it is "Lysine riboswitch". It matches the Rfam family "Lysine riboswitch aptamer". From Rfam's summary of the family: Riboswitches are metabolite binding domains within certain messenger RNAs that serve as precision sensors for their corresponding targets. Allosteric rearrangement of mRNA structure is mediated by ligand binding, and this results in modulation of gene expression. This family includes riboswitches that sense lysine in a number of genes involved in lysine metabolism, including lysC. The record is from RNAcentral.